RNA transcript from Helicoverpa armigera (cotton bollworm), 960 nucleotides. RefSeq lists it as uncharacterized. The transcript is spliced from 7 exons. The record is from RefSeq and is a predicted model, not a curated record. NCBI's taxonomy places the organism in Eukaryota, Metazoa, Arthropoda, Insecta, Lepidoptera, Noctuidae.
GUCAUAUCAAGCAAGGUAACUUAUAACCAAAAACUAUGAAAUAAAAUACAAAAAUAUCAUAACAAAAUGCAUUUAAGUCAUUUCAGUAUACACGAAUUAUUUAGUUAAGUAUAAUUGAUAAAUUCUUGGUAUAUGUUUGAGUACCAAGGAGAGAAUAUAUUUAAAACAUGGGAUUGGUAAACAGUAAGGAUUUUACGUCAAGAAGAAAGGUAGAUGAGGCUACCAGUAACACCAGUUUAUCCAAGCUACGCUACGUGAUAACAGAAAAACCAAAAUGGAAAGUUUUCAAAAAGAAAGAGGUAGUGCCUUUACCACAGUAUCGUCCUGUGAAGGGAUGUCCUUGUGGCAACGCUGGACCUUGUAAGCAAAAAGUGACACCGAGAGGAGUUACCAUACAUUAUCCUCAGAAAAAGAAAAAAUUCUGCGCCUUUGGCACGGAUCGACGGUACAAGCCACCUAAAACCCAAAAGAGUUACUUCACUAGAUUAGCGUGGAAGUCCCUUUCCAGCGCUUUACCAUUCCAAACAAGAAUCCAGGCGAAUAUAAACUUAAGUCUACCAGCGUUGCCUCUGUACAAAGUGAGCCAUGCGUUUAAAGCAAUAAAGUCCAGUUUGCCUUCUCUAAAUAAUAAGCUAAGCAAUGCUAUGAAGAGCAUUAAAUCUUUGAAGUCAAUUAAGAAGAAGCCUCGACGCAGUUUGAGCAAGGAAUUCAUGUUCAUGCCUUUUCAAUUUCAAAAAUAAGCCCAAAAACUGACAAUAAAGUAAAAGUAAUUCGGCGUAAGAGAUUUCCUACCUUUAGACUGGACAAGAUUUCAUGUUAUUCGCCAUUUAGCAGAACCGUCGCGCCCCGGCCUGGGGGUACCGUUGUGAAUUGAAAUAGUCGUUUUGAAAUUAUACGAGUAGGUAUGUCAAGUUACAAUAUUAUCAUGUAUAUUAAUAAAAAUAUAUAAGUUACUUUAUA